UCAGGCACCCGACAUUUCGUGUCUCUCCGUUGGAACAAGAGCCCGGGAAGUGCAAACUUCCCCAAACUGUCCUGCCAACAGGCCUUUCUGACCUAAAGGGGGGAUCACCUUUAUGGUGACAGGAUAAUUUGAUCUCUGUGCCAUCUAAUCCUUAUUUUCU
Molecule: small RNA, 160 nt
Filed under: Manacus vitellinus (golden-collared manakin)
Lineage: Eukaryota; Metazoa; Chordata; Aves; Passeriformes; Pipridae
Description: TUC338 (ENSMVIG00005007867.1)
Source: RNAcentral